GAAUUCACUAGUGAUUCAGGCCUAACACAUGCAAGUCGAGCGGUAGAGAGAAGCUUGCUUCUCUUGAGAGAGGCGGACGGGUGAGUAAUGCCUAGGAAUCUGCCUGGUAGUGGGGGAUAACGUUCGGAAACGGACGCUAAUACCGCAUACGUCCUACGGGAGAAAGCAGGGGACCUUCGGGCCUUGCGCUAUCAGAUGAGCCUAGGUCGGAUUAGCUAGUUGGUGAGGUAAUGGCUCACCAAGGCGACGAUCCGUAACUGGUCUGAGAGGAUGAUCAGUCACACUGGAACUGAGACACGGUCCAGACUCCUACGGGAGGCAGCAGUGGGGAAUAUUGGACAAUGGGCGAAAGCCUGAUCCUUAAGAGGCGCGUGUGUGAAGAAGGCCUUCGGA
RNAcentral lists this ribosomal RNA (393 nucleotides) under uncultured bacterium. RNAcentral's name for it is "bacterial SSU rRNA". It matches the Rfam family "Bacterial small subunit ribosomal RNA", at positions 34 to 422 of the family's 1533-position model. The record is from RNAcentral.